Molecule: non-coding RNA, 2807 nt
Organism: Oryctolagus cuniculus (rabbit)
Lineage: Eukaryota; Metazoa; Chordata; Mammalia; Lagomorpha; Leporidae
Source: RefSeq, a predicted model, not a curated record
CUCCCACAGUCACAGGGUGCAGAGGAUCCUCUCUCCAGCCUGUGAUACUGCCCCAUCUAUGGAGAAAGUGGAAAUGUUCCCAGAGUCAGCUUUCUAUAGAGUGAGACAGUGAGAGAGAGAGAGAGAGAGAGAAAGGUCUUCCUUCCGUUGUUGAUUCACCCCCAAAAGGCCACUAUGGCCGGAGCUAUGCCGAUCUGAAGCCAGGAUCCAGGUGCUUCCUCCUGGUCUCCCAUGCAGCAGUGAUAAAAUGCUCUUCAGUAUGUCAGACAGCUGUUUUGGAAUGCAAACCACACGCAUCCUUGAAAACCUCAGCGGAUAACCUAUCUCAAAAAAAGGAAACAUUCAAAAUGGCAAGGUCUGUCGGACAACAAGAUGAUACUUCCUCAAACAGCAAGAGCUGGAUUUCUGAUCAUGGUGGGGUGCCCUCAACCUGGAGCCUGAUGAGUGAUGGGUUGGAUCCACAAAACCAGUGGCCUACAUCUAAUUCAAUAGUUCAAGGAACAACUCCUUACUGACCCGUGUCAGAGGCAGGUGUCAGGAGUCUUCAGAGUCAAGGGCAAGGUAUUGAAUCUGGAAGUCCACUGAAGGCUUCUCGUGAGGGUGUUCAUACCCAUCUGUCUCUUAUUAACUGUGUGGUCUAGGCAAGGUUCUCAGUUAUAAACAGGCCUAAUAGCAACACCAAUCAUUGCAUUAUUGUGAGGAUAAAAUAUGGAACAAUCUUGGACCAGUUACAUAAGCCUGAAAGAUGUACUCUUUCUUCCCUCCUCUCUCUGAAUCCUUGAGAGUGCUUCUCUGAUCCAAAGGCUUUUAUCUAAUGCUGCAUUUAUUAGACUGGACUCUCUGGCUUUCAAAAGACAGAAAUUAACUCAAAUUAUAUAAACAGGAAAGGAUUCAUUGAAGUGUCUGAGAAAGAUGAGAUUAGGAAUGAGAGACUUGACUGUUCAAAUGAAGCUGUCAUCUCCCUCCUCCUUCACUCUCUCUCCCUUAGCUCACUCACUGGCAGUGAGUGAAAAGCUAUGAAAAUGAAAGCUGUGUGCAUUCAUUCUCUGCUUCCAUAGACUGUCUUUACACACAAAAUGGCUGUCAGUGAGUCCAGAUCCACAUUCUUACAACAGACAGCACAUGCAUGGAAUGGCUUCCCCUUGGAACUUUACAGAACAUUCAUGGAAAGAACCGAAGUUGGUUUGGUUUCCACCUAUAUGUUCUCAUCUGUAGACAAGGGGGCAUCUAUUAAGGGAAGAAGCAAGGAGGUUGGGCAGAGGAAACAGUAGCUGGUAAAACCCAAGGAUUCAUAUGUGACAAUGAGAUGAACUGUAUUCUUUUAUGUGACUAUGAAGAAAUACCUGAGGCAGGGUACUUCAUAAAGAAAAGAGGCUCAUUUAUCUCAUGAUCUGUAGGUUCAAGAAUAUGGAGCCAUCAUCAGCUUACCUCUUGUGAGAACAACAUGGAAAAUGACAUCAUGGUAGGAGCAGGUGUAAGAGGGAGAAAUCAUAAAGUGAUAAAAGAAGCUGGAGAGAGAAAGGGACAUCAAGGACUGACUUGGGUCCCACAAGACUAUAUAAUCCCUCAAGGACACAACCCCAGUGACCUCAGGACCUCACAUAAGGCCCUACUGCCUAAAGGUCCCACCACCUCUUAACAACACCAUGCUGAGGAUAAAGCUUCCAAAACAUGAACCUUUGGGGGAAACAUUUAAACCAUAUUCAAUGCAUAGCGUCCACUACCCAUAGCCAAUCAGUGCUCAUCUAUGAAGCAAGGUGAGGGAUUUUCACCCAUCACCAGUCAGAGCUCACCUGUGAGGUGAGGUGAGUGACCUCACCCAUCACCAGUCAGGGCCCAUCUCUGAAGACUACCUGACAGCCAGAGUGUUCUCACAUGUUCCUCUUUAGUGGAAUCCUAGAUCUCAAUCACAUCUGAGCUCUACAGCCACAGCUUCACAUCUUCAACUUCACCUGCAGGCCAUUUCUUUGUCUUCGCUCUUCUGCGGUAGGUUGGCCUGCAGAAGGCAAGAGAUCCAUUUUCAAAUAUUGCACUGCACCUUUUACACUCAGAACAUAUAUCCUUACCAAGUUCCUUGAGUCAUUGUCUUCUGUGGGCCUCCAGGAAUCAAAGCAAAACUACUUUUCUGUUAUCCCAAGCAGCAAUCUACUGUGCAUCCUACUGGCAUUUGGGGCCUGAUGGUAGCAGGUGCAUUGCAGAAAGUAAUGGGAAACACUGAAGGCAAACACUGCAGGUUUGCAUGAUUCUUGUGAGCAGAGAACUUGGUCCAUUGUUUUUGUAUUUAUCUGUAGUAUGGGUGUGAGUGUGCCAGCACCCCCAACCCCCACCCUGGCCAGUGCAAAAUGUGAAGCCCCAAGUACUCUAGCUGGCUGUAAAUCUUAGGGAUGAAAAGAAACAGCCUGAUUUCAGUGAACCAAAUAAAUAAAAGGUUUAGAUUGAGCUCCAUCUGACCUGACCUCUGUCAGCAAAAGGCUAUGCUUCAAAUUUACUGUAUUAGGAUGACGAGACACCUGGGAUGAUUGUCACUAUUAGUGGAAGACUGAGGUUAUAAAAAAAAGUCAUAACUUUUCAGACCAAAUUGAUUUAGCAAUUUUUAAUCUAAAGGCAAAAAUAAUCACAGAAGGAGCUGUAAGUAUGGUAUGUGGUAACUAGACAGGCUGAGGUGAGCUGGAAUUCUUGCAGCCCUGUCAUGUAAUGUUUAUCUCUUUAACUGUCAGCUUCAUAUGUCCACCUUUCCAGGAUGCACCUGUGCCUCAUCCAGGACCAGGACACAUGUUAAGACUCACUCUGUAUGUUUAUGCGAUUAA